RNAcentral lists this transfer RNA (74 nucleotides) under Muribaculaceae bacterium. RNAcentral's name for it is "tRNA-Arg". It matches the Rfam family "tRNA". Rfam says of the family: Transfer RNA (tRNA) molecules are approximately 80 nucleotides in length. Their secondary structure includes four short double-helical elements and three loops (D, anti-codon, and T loops). Lineage: Bacteria; Pseudomonadati; Bacteroidota; Bacteroidia; Bacteroidales; Muribaculaceae. The record is from RNAcentral.
ACUUCCGUAGCUCAGCGGAAUAGAGCAUCCCACUUCUAAUGGGACGGUCGCAGGUUCGAUUCCUGCCGGAAGUA